AGAGUUUGAUCCUGGCUCAGGAUGAACGCUGGCGGCGUGCUUAACACAUGCAAGUCGAACGAAGCACUUUAUUUGAUUUUCUUCGGAAAUGAAGAUUUUGUGACUGAGUGGCGGACGGGUGAGUAACGCGUGGGUAACCUGCCUCAUACAGGGGGAUAACAGUUGGAAACGACUGCUAAUACCGCAUAAGCGCACAGCAUCGCAUGAUGCAGUGUGAAAAACUCCGGUGGUAUGAGAUGGACCCGCGUCUGAUUAGCCAGUUGGCGGGGUAACGGCCCACCAAAGCAACGAUCAGUAGCCGACCUGAGAGGGUGACCGGCCACAUUGGGACUGAGACACGGCCCAAACUCCUACGGGAGGCAGCAGUGGGGAAUAUUGCACAAUGGGGGAAACCCUGAUGCAGCGACGCCGCGUGAGCGAUGAAGUAUUUCGGUAUGUAAAGCUCUAUCAGCAGGGAAGAAAAAAUGACGGUACCUGACUAAGAAGCACCGGCUAAAUACGUGCCAGCAGCCGCGGUAAUACGUAUGGUGCAAGCGUUAUCCGGAUUUACUGGGUGUAAAGGGAGCGCAGGCGGUGCGGCAAGUCUGAUGUGAAAGCCCCGGGCUCAACCUGGGAACUGCUUUGGAGACUGCCAUGCUUGAGUGCUGGAGAGGCAAGCGGAAUUCCUAGUGUAGCGGUGAAAUGCGUAGAUAUUAGGAGGAACACCAGUGGCGAAGGCGGCUUGCUGGACAGUAACUGACGUUGAGGCUCGAAAGCGUGGGGAGCAAAACAGGAUUAGAUACCCUGGUAGUCCACGCGGUAAACGAUGCAUACUAGGUUUUGGUGAGCAAAGCUCAUCGGUGCCGUAGCAAACGCAGUAAGUAUGCCACCUGGGGAGUACGUUCGCAAAGAAUGAAACUCAAAGGAAUUGACGGGGACCCGCACAAGCGGUGGAGCAUGUGGUUUAAUUCGAAGCAACGCGAAGAACCUUACCAGGGCUUGACAUGGAGACGACCGGACUAGAGAUAGUCCUUCCCUUCGGGGCGUCUCACACAGGUGGUGCAUGGUUGUCGUCAGCUCGUGUCGUGAGAUGUUGGGUUAAGUCCCGCAACGAGCGCAACCCUUAUUGUUAGUUGCUACGCAAGAGCACUCUAGCGAGACUGCCGUUGACAAAACGGAGGAAGGUGGGGACGACGUCAAAUCAUCAUGCCCCUUAUGUCCUGGGCCACACACGUACUACAAUGGCGGUCAACAGAGGGAAGCAAAGCCGCGAGGCAGAGCAAACCCCUAAAAGCCGUCCCAGUUCGGAUUGCAGGCUGAAACCCGCCUGUAUGAAGUUGGAAUCGCUAGUAAUCGCGGAUCAGCAUGCCGCGGUGAAUACGUUACCGGGCCUUGCACACACCGCCCGUCA
Molecule: ribosomal RNA, 1390 nt
Filed under: uncultured bacterium
Lineage: Bacteria
Description: bacterial SSU rRNA
Rfam family: Bacterial small subunit ribosomal RNA
Source: RNAcentral